CUUUUGCCCUUGUAUCCAUAAGCUUGAUGCUUUGGGCCAUCUCGCACAGGAGUAGGACUUUGAGUGACCUUUGCCUUGGAGUAUAUAACAUCUAUUUGCCAUUGAGAGCAUCCUUGGGGAGCAAGAAGGCAUGCUACAUCACCCACUUUAACAGCAGCUUCUGGCCAGUGCUAAGAAGUGAACCCAGAGCCUCAUAAUACAGGUAAGCACUCUUCCAUGGAGCUAUGUCCCACCUAUCUCCCUAUAUUCACAU
Long non-coding RNA from Peromyscus leucopus (white-footed mouse), 253 nucleotides. RefSeq lists it as uncharacterized. The record is from RefSeq and is a predicted model, not a curated record. The transcript has 3 exons. NCBI's taxonomy places the organism in Eukaryota, Metazoa, Chordata, Mammalia, Rodentia, Cricetidae.